This 498-nucleotide ribosomal RNA is filed under the name uncultured bacterium. RNAcentral's name for it is "partial 16S ribosomal RNA". It matches the Rfam family "Bacterial small subunit ribosomal RNA", at positions 28 to 508 of the family's 1533-position model. The record is from RNAcentral.
GAUGAACGCUGGCGGCGUGCCUAAUACAUGCAAGUCGAGCGAACAGACGAGGAGCUUGCUCCUCUGACGUUAGCGGCGGACGGGUGAGUAACACGUGGAUAACCUACCUAUAAGACUGGGAUAACUUCGGGAAACCGGAGCUAAUACCGGAUAAUAUAUUGAACCGCAUGGUUCAAUAGUGAAAGACGGUUUUGCUGUCACUUAUAGAUGGAUCCGCGCCGCAUUAGCUAGUUGGUAAGGUAACGGCUUACCAAGGCAACGAUGCGUAGCCGACCUGAGAGGGUGAUCGGCCACACUGGAACGGAGACACGGUCCAGACUCCUACGGGAGGGAGCAGGAGGGAAUCUUCCGCAAUGGGCGAAAGCUUGACGGAGCAACGCCGCGUGAGUGAUGAAGGUCUUCGGAUCGUAAAACUCUGUUAUUAGGGAAGAACAAAUGUGUAAGUAACUAGGCACGUCUUGACGGUACCUAAUCAGAAAGCCACGGCUAACUACGGGC